RNAcentral lists this ribosomal RNA (466 nucleotides) under uncultured bacterium. Its description in RNAcentral is "partial 16S ribosomal RNA". It matches the Rfam family "Bacterial small subunit ribosomal RNA", at positions 28 to 507 of the family's 1533-position model. The record is from RNAcentral.
GAUGAACGCUGGCGGCGUGCUUAACACAUGCAAGUCGAACGGAAAGGCCCAAGCUUGCUUGGGUACUCGAGUGGCGAACGGGUGAGUAACACGUGGGUGAUCUGCCCUGCACUUCGGGAUAAGCCUGGGAAACUGGGUCUAAUACCGGAUAGGACCACAUUUUGGAUGGUGUGGUGGAAAGUUUUUCGGUGUGGGAUGAGCUCGCGGCCUAUCAGCUUGUUGGUGGGGUAAUGGCCUACCAAGGCGUCGACGGGUAGCCGGCCUGAGAGGGUGUACGGCCACAUUGGGACUGAGAUACGACCCAGACUCCUACGGGAGGCAGCAGUGGGGAAUAUUGCACAAUGGGCGCAAGCCUGAUGCAGCGACGCCGCGUGGGGGAUGACGGCCUUCGGGUUGUAAACUCCUUUCGCUAGGGACGAAGCGUUAUGUGACGGCACCUGGAGAAGAAGCACCGGCUAACUACGUG